UUCUGGAGUGAGUUCCCAUCUCAAUGAACAGCCCAAGUAUUCUAAGCCAAAGCCCUCUCACACCCACUCACUGCAUUGCCACCGGGGGAACUGUGAAGAGCCGCUCUCCCAGCUCUGCUAUCAGUUCACACACAGCCCGGCUGCCGUUUCCUGGAGACCAGAGAAGUUUGCUCUUGAAGCUAAGCCUCCUGAAGACAUGGCCAUGGUUCUACAUCUCACCAUUGUGUCCCCACUCUACAGACCACUGAGUUUAUAAUGUAAGAAUUUCAGCAGAUACCCAUCGAACUGUCUUCAUUUUCACAUCAACUACCAAGAUGACUUCAGCUCCAAGGACCAGAUUAGAUGAUGUCCGAAAACAAGGAGAUAUGCUUUUUUCAUUUUCAUACUUUGCUUGAAAUAAAGACAUUUGAAACUACAAA
Non-coding RNA from Myodes glareolus (Bank vole), 419 nucleotides. The record is from RefSeq and is a predicted model, not a curated record. NCBI's taxonomy places the organism in Eukaryota, Metazoa, Chordata, Mammalia, Rodentia, Cricetidae.